UACGUAGGUGACAAGCGUUGUCCGGAUUUACUGGGCGUAAAGAGCGCGCAGGCGGUCGUUCAAGUCGAGUGUGAAAGCCCCCGGCUCAACUGGGGAGGGUCACUCGAUACUGAUCGACUCGAAGGCAGGAGAGGGUAGUGGAAUUCCCGGUGUAGUGGUGAAAUGCGUAGAUAUCGGGAGGAACACCGGUGGCGAAGGCGGCCAACUGGACGAGUACUGACGCUGAGACACGAAAGCGUGGGGAGCAAACAGG
This 253-nucleotide ribosomal RNA is filed under the name uncultured bacterium. Its description in RNAcentral is "partial 16S ribosomal RNA". It matches the Rfam family "Bacterial small subunit ribosomal RNA", at positions 524 to 776 of the family's 1533-position model. The record is from RNAcentral.